RNAcentral lists this transfer RNA (68 nucleotides) under Microcaecilia unicolor. RNAcentral's name for it is "tRNA-Asp". The record is from RNAcentral. Lineage: Eukaryota; Metazoa; Chordata; Amphibia; Gymnophiona; Siphonopidae.
AAGAUGUUAGUAAAAAUAUUACACUACUUUGUCAAAGCAGAAUAACAGAAUAACCACUGUACAUCUUC